AAAAACAUAACAAAACCAAAACCAAAUCCUCUCUUGACACAAACCCGACCUCAUCACUCCUCUCGAUAGCUAGCGAAACCUCCUCUUCAGUCGCGUCUCACAAAACCAAAACCUAGCUCCUCUUUACUCAUGCCUCACCAAAACCCAAACCAAAAUCAAAUCCAAUUGAAAGCUUGACGAUAGAUAGCCUUAAACCUUAAAUUUCAUCUUUCAUUCUCAUAAACAAUACCCAAUACCCAAAUUGUUGCUGAUGAUGUUCUUCGCCAGUUUCACUUGGAUUUGAAAAUUUUGGGAAUGCUGAAGGAAAUGUCGAGAAAAUUUUUUCCCCAAAUUCAAACCAUAACCUUUUCAAUUUGUGAUUACGGUUUCCGUAAUUCAAUUUUAGUCAUUUAUAGCUCUGAUAUGUGUGUUUCAGGCGUGUUCCGGCGCGAUUCACUGCACUCUCUCCCACUUUCACAAUGGCAGAUUUUACCAAAGAACUCAAACCCCUUUUCGAUUACAAUUGCGUACAGCCUCUCAAUGUCAUCUCCUUUGACGACGACGACGGUGGUGACCUCUUUUCGAUAACUGGAAUCUUUACUAAUUCAAUCAAGGCUUGAAUUGUGUCCAAGUUCGGUAUUUUGAAGCGUUCAAUGUUUCUAUUGUAGAGGAUGAGGUGUCUGCUUCUCCUCCAACCAAGAAGAGGAAGAAGGCUUCAAAUUCAGUAGUUGAAAAGGUUGAUGACAGUGUGAAGUUUGGUUCUUGCUUAAUCCGCCAAGAAUCUAGUGCUUCACCUUGCUGGAUACGACAAUGUAAAGGAUUGAGGUUGGCUACCUGCAUCCAGGAUAGUGGUGUCAAAGAAAUCAAGCCCAAGAGGAGUACAAUCAUGGGUAAAACUAAGAAAGGCUAUCAAGCAUGAAGUUGUUGGGGUGGAGAUUAGUCCUAACCUAUAGGAAUGAGAAAGUCAUCAGGUUUGCUAGGAGAGGAAUAUUAUCAUUGUCAUGCUCACAUCAGGAAUUUAAGAAGGCUGUUAUAUUACGUACUUAUGGCAAGUGAAUCUUGUUGAGUGACUAAAAAUGAUGGUAGGUGCAAGAAGUAUGGAGUAUGAUGAAUGGGCCAAUCAAAGGUAGGCAUGGAAAUUGGAAUCUGCUGCCAUUAUGGAGCCUUCAAUAAAUUUUAUUGUUUCAUCUCACUCUAAAGGGAAGAGAAGAUAUGCAACAUGUGGAUUACCAAAAAGUGUCUUCUUUGCUUCAAGUCUUUGUGAGGAAGCACAUUCUGAAGCUGGAACAAGACAUUGAGUUGCUUAAAGCAGAGGCUAAAAGAAAAGUUGAAUUUAGUUAUGAUGUUAUUGAAGGAACUCCAGAAGAUAUUGAGUGUGUUGAGUCUGGAGCUCCUCAAACUUCAAGCUUCUUAGACUCUAAUGAGGCCAUGAGAGUAGCCAAGCUUGCAAAGCUAGACACUGAAGUAAAUUUCUGGAUGUAUUUUGCUAGGAGAGUACUAUUAGACGUACUCCUUUUGUGGAUAAAAGAUUAGCUUUGCACAAUCUAUUUUGAUGCAUGAUGUAGAUUAUAACAAUUUCUUCUAUAUAUAUAUAUAUUUAUCAGUUACUGUUAA
RNA transcript from Rosa chinensis, 1593 nucleotides. RefSeq lists it as uncharacterized. Lineage: Eukaryota; Viridiplantae; Streptophyta; Magnoliopsida; Rosales; Rosaceae. The transcript has 8 exons. The record is from RefSeq and is a predicted model, not a curated record.